ACGGGAGGCAGCAGUGGGGAAUAUUGGGCAAUGGGCGCAAGCCUGACCCAGCAACGCCGCGUGAAGGAUGAAGGUCUUCGGAUUGUAAACUUCUUUGAUCAGGGACGAAUAAUGACGGUACCUGAAGAACAAGUCACGGCUAACUACGUGCCAGCAGCCGCGGUAAUACGUAGGUGACAAGCGUUAUCCGGAUUUACUGGGUGUAAAGGGCGCGUAGGCGGGGAUGCAAGUCAGAUGUGAAAUCCAUGGGCUUAACCCAUGAACUGCAUUUGAAACUGUAUCUCUUGAGUGUCGGAGAGGUAGAUGGAAUUCCUAGUGUAGCGGUGAAAUGCGUAGAUAUUAGGAGGAACACCAGUGGCGAAGGCGAUCUACUGGACGAUAACUGACGCUGAGGCGCGAAAGCGUGGGGAGCAAACAGGAUUAGAUACCCUGGUA
RNAcentral lists this ribosomal RNA (435 nucleotides) under uncultured Oscillospiraceae bacterium. RNAcentral describes it as "partial 16S ribosomal RNA". It matches the Rfam family "Bacterial small subunit ribosomal RNA", at positions 341 to 792 of the family's 1533-position model. The record is from RNAcentral. Lineage: Bacteria; Bacillati; Bacillota; Clostridia; Eubacteriales; Oscillospiraceae.